Molecule: ribosomal RNA, 642 nt
Filed under: uncultured bacterium
Lineage: Bacteria
Description: bacterial SSU rRNA
Rfam family: Bacterial small subunit ribosomal RNA
Source: RNAcentral
GGAGCUAACGCGUUAAAUCGACCGCCUGGGGAGUACGGCCGCAAGGUUAAAACUCAAAUGAAUUGACGGGGGCCCGCACAAGCGGUGGAGCAUGUGGUUUAAUUCGAUGCAACGCGAAGAACCUUACCUACUCUUGACAUCCAGAGAAUUUAGCAGAGAUGCUUUAGUGCCUUCGGGAACUCUGAGACAGGUGCUGCAUGGCUGUCGUCAGCUCGUGUUGUGAAAUGUUGGGUUAAGUCCCGCAACGAGCGCAACCCUUAUCCUUUGUUGCCAGCGAUUCGGUCGGGAACUCAAAGGAGACUGCCGGUGAUAAACCGGAGGAAGGUGGGGAUGACGUCAAGUCAUCAUGGCCCUUACGAGUAGGGCUACACACGUGCUACAAUGGCGUAUACAAAGAGAAGCGACCUCGCGAGAGCAAGCGGAACUCAUAAAGUACGUCGUAGUCCGGAUUGGAGUCUGCAACUCGACUCCAUGAAGUCGGAAUCGCUAGUAAUCGUAGAUCAGAAUGCUACGGUGAAUACGUUCCCGGGCCUUGUACACACCGCCCGUCACACCAUGGGAGUGGGUUGCAAAAGAAGUAGGUAGCUUAACCUUCGGGAGGGCGCUUACCACUUUGUGAUUCAUGACUGGGGUGAAGUCGUA